UAGAGGAAGUAAAAGUCGUAACAAGGUUUCCGUAGGUGAACCUGCGGAAGGAUCAUUACCGAGUGAGGGCCCUCUGGGUCCAACCUCCCACCCGUGUUUAUUUACCUUGUUGCUUCGGCGGGCCCGCCUUAACUGGCCGCCGGGGGGCUUACGUCCCCGGGCCCGCGCCCGCCGAAGACACCCUCGAACUCUGUCUGAAGAUUGUAGUCUGAGUGAAAAUAUAAAUUAUUUAAAACUUUCAACAACGGAUCUCUUGGUUCCGGCAUCGAUGAAGAACGCAGCGAAAUGCGAUACGUAAUGUGAAUUGCAAAUUCAGUGAAUCAUCGAGUCUUUGAACGCACAUUGCGCCCCCUGGUAUUCCGGGGGGCAUGCCUGUCCGAGCGUCAUUUCUGCCCUCAAGCACGGCUUGUGUGUUGGGCCCCGUCCUCCGAUUCCGGGGGACGGGCCCGAAAGGCAGCGGCGGCACCGAGUCCGGUCCUCGAGCGUAUGGGGCUUUGUCACCCGCUCUGUAGGCCCGGCCGGCGCUUGCCGAUCAACCCAAAUUUUUAUCCAGGUUGACCUCGGAUCAGGUAGGGAUACCCGCUGAACUUAAGCAUAUCA
Molecule: ribosomal RNA, 600 nt
Filed under: Penicillium sp. 19VA03
Lineage: Eukaryota; Fungi; Ascomycota; Eurotiomycetes; Eurotiales; Aspergillaceae
Description: eukaryotic LSU rRNA
Rfam family: 5.8S ribosomal RNA (bases 234-386)
Source: RNAcentral